This 215-nucleotide unclassified non-coding RNA is filed under the name plant metagenome. RNAcentral describes it as "partial contains small subunit ribosomal RNA, internal transcribed spacer 1, and 5.8S ribosomal RNA". The record is from RNAcentral.
UCUCCGUUGGUGAACCAGCGGAGGGAUCAUUACCGAGUUUACAACUCCCAAACCCCUGUGAACAUACCUGUUUUGUUGCUUCGGCCGUGCCCUCGCUCUCGCGGCGAGGCCCGCCAGAGGACCCAAACAAACUCUUUGACUUUGACCUAGGAUUAUACUUCUGAGUGAUACAAAAAAUAAAAUCAAAACUUUCAACAACGGAUCUUUUGGUUCUG